UUUUACUCUUAAAUUGUGGGGAUGUAGGCACUCGUUUAGCUACAGGAGAAUCGAUACUUUUGUUCCUUUUAUUGUCGGAUGUUUUUCUGGCCAACAGAUUUCAUUUUUGGAUUUUAGUGUUCCGAGCCAAGGUAUUUCGCCUGAGAAAAUCAAUUGUUUGCUUUGUUUCAUAGGUCAGCGGCGGCGUUGGUCGUAGCGCGCUUCUUCAUGGUAAAAAGGGAUUUUCUCUUUCCCGCUUUAUUAGCAAUUUUUUAACGACGACACAGGUUCGACAAAUUCACUAGUACUGCAGAUGCUAGCGCAAUAGGGCAGGUGACUUUGACGAGGAGUAUAUCUCCGUAUCUCCGCAUGUGGGGCUCGUCAGACUAUGGCACGUUGCGCACAUAAAGUGCAAAGAGUAGAGUGACAGAAGAGACUCAAGUGGGACUUCGACCGUUAACGGCCUUAGGGGUGAGCGCGCGUUGCCCACACGACUAUCAAAAACGCGGUCUUUAAGGUAAGAUCGAUCACUUUUGAAAGGACAGUAGGAAGGAUAUCCCGCGCAAAUUGUGAAGCAAGCCCUCGUGCCAAACUCGGUCGAACGCUACUUCGACAUUGCAUAAGAAGGCGUCUGUUGCUUUAAAACUUUCAAGGCACGGGUCGUAUAAAACUUCAGGCAAAGGGGGCCUGGCUUGCGUCAACAAUUGCUUCGCCUCAGCUACCUUUGCCUACGGUUACGAAGAGGCUGAUAGGCCUGUAAUUGCUUUGCUUUGAUGCUGUUCGUGGUGUCUUCGGGAGCAUAACCAACAGUUGCCGUCUUCAAGCACACUGGGAAGGUGCCGAGUUCCUUCAUAGAGUUGAUGAGGCAGUGUAGGCCUUUGCCAUUAACAUCACGUUGGUGAUACCGUUAGGGCCGAGUGCCUUUCGUCUCGGUAAAGCGUUAAUAACCUCUUUGAUUUCAAUUAUGGUCAUUGGCUCGAACUGUUCCUUGGCAUCAGGAAGGGAGUUUGCUUACAAAGCACUUUAACAGCAACUAAAUAAGCAAGGGGCAAAUACCCAGUAGCAAGGUGUUUAGCCAAAAGUGUCGCUUCGUCUGCUUUAAUUUCCUCAAAAAUGCCGUCUCGAUUACUUAAUGAUGGUAGCGCGCUCGGAUUUUUGUAUUUCCCAAUGUACUUCCACUUAGAGCCGCCACCUUUACCGUUAUCUUCCGGGAUAUUACUAAUCUUUGUCGUCCACAAUCGGUUGUGGUGCGCUGACCGCUCUUCCCAUUGCGCUGGUGUAGUCUAUUAAGCGGUGGUUUACCUUUGGGUCCGUUGGCACCGUGAUCAUUGAAGGUCGUCGUUCGCAGGGUUAAUUCAUCAGGCAAGAAGUUUGGCGGGGUUCACUUUCUCGUGUUCUCGUGGCGGUCUGUUACCCCAUGGUCGAAGCGCCCUCAAUUUCAGCUACAGCUACGUCAAGUAGAGCGGGCGUCCUGUUAAGGCGGAAGGUGUUAAAAAGGUUAUAUAAAAACCUUAGGAGAAUUGAGAGCAAUCUGUAAAAAUUCUGGUAUGUAUUCUUAGUAACUCCAUUUUCGUCGCCGAAAUCUAACAGAACUGCAAAUGCUCCCACAAGAGUUCAUAAAGAGCUUACGUUGUGGAUGAAUAUAUAAAAAAACUUUUUUUAUAAGGGGGGACCUAAUUUGUUUAAUAUCCCUGUCCUCUCCACGUGCGUUGGGUACUGUGGUAUUAAGACGCGUAGUCAGCGCUCAACGGUGUAAGAUUCGGGGUCUCGUCCGUUUGGGUAAUCAACACGGCUGUUCCAGCAAGAUACCUGCAGCCAAUGUUCCCACUUACAACAUUUGAAGAAGAUUUAGAAAGGGGCGUCAAUAUCUGAAGUAAUGUGACUUGCUGGGAGAGUUGUAAGCUGCAAUCACCGGACACGAGUCCCUGACUGGAUGCAAGGCUGUGCAGGAUUGGCAAAGACAUCACGUUGUGUGGGAUGUUUCGUUUGCUCUAUCACCCCUAUCAGUGUGGUCCUGGUGAUAUCAAAUAGUUGCAGAGAUUAAAUGAAACGCCGAGAAGAAGACGAAUCUCAUCAAUAACAGAUCUAUCCCUUCGCAUUGCACCACUUCCUGCGACCCUUGUUUCCUAUGUAGAAACGCCGUUUGCGUUCCAGAAAAGAAGACGGAUAUGACGAAGCGCUCGUGGUCUAACAACUAUUGCAGCGGUUUUCGGACUUUUUAGACUCUUCAUCGUCUCUAACAUAGUUGGCAGGUUUGUCAAUAAUAUUGAAAGUAGUUGUCGAUGUGUUGGUCGCGGGAGUUGGAAAGUUGUCUUAGUGACUAGGCGAGCGACAUAAGAAAUUGUCAAAAUGACGUCAGAAGAGGUCUGUUUUUGAAGCAUUAGUAGAGCAGCUUGAUUGGAUGGUGUAAGGCUCGCGGGUAAUUUUUGAUGUAAAAGUUGGAAUUGUGCGCUUCACCGCAAUAAGCACUACUGGCAGGACUUUCUCGUACUUUUGUGCACUGCGUUCAUGGGGUAUUCGCCACAUUUAUCGCAUCGGGGGGCCGCAGAGCAGGAACUUGCGCUGUUUCCAAAAACUUGGCAGCGUUGGCAUUGUCCGACUAGAAUACUCCUUCAAAACUCUUUUAUCCUAGCCUGAAACUAUAAAUCUCCUUUAAUUCCAACUAUUUUUAUUGAUCACACCUUGGUGUAUGUACUAACAGCAGGUCGUGCGUUUCCCGUCGUCAUUGUCCUCCGUGUGCAUUCCCGCCACGUGGAGAGGGGUGUUGCCUUGCGUUCGUAAGUUCCCCUCCACUUCCAAACCGUCGAGGGACAAACUUUAAAGGCUUGUGCACUGGUAGUUGAUGGUUGUAAUGUGGUAGCACUUCUUUUCGCAUAAGCUUAGGGGUGACCCGAUACUACUCUGCUGUUGUAAUAAUUUAAUUCCUUGACGUGUAUCCCUAACUCCGAAAGUUGUUGACGACGUUGCCCAGCAGAGGUUUUACAAAAUGAAAUCUGUUUUUCUCAGAGAACCGUGAGCAGGAUGUUAUUAUUUCGCCUAAGAGGAGAUGCAACCGCGGAAAGUGGCUUGGAGUUGCUGGAAGUAUUUCGUGCAGUGGAAGAAGAAUUGCCCGUUUCUAAGUCAAGGCUCUCUUUGUGCUCUCUAAAAGGCAUAUCUCUGU
This is a long non-coding RNA of Zophobas morio, 3139 nucleotides long. RefSeq lists it as uncharacterized. Lineage: Eukaryota; Metazoa; Arthropoda; Insecta; Coleoptera; Tenebrionidae. The record is from RefSeq and is a predicted model, not a curated record. The transcript is spliced from 3 exons.